UACGGAGGAUGCAAGCGUUAUCCGGAUUUAUUGGGUUUAAAGGGUGCGCAGGUUGUUUGAUAAGUCAGUGGUGAAAGUCUGUCGCUUAACGGUAGGAUUGCCAUUGAUACUGUUAGACUUGAAUAUGGAUGAGGUAGGCGGAAUGUGUAGUGUAGCGGUGAAAUGCAUAGAUAUUACACAGAACACCGAUUGCGAAGGCAGCUUACUAAUCCAUCAUUGACGCUGAUGCACGAAAGCGUGGGGAUCAAA
RNAcentral lists this ribosomal RNA (249 nucleotides) under uncultured prokaryote. Its description in RNAcentral is "partial 16S ribosomal RNA". It matches the Rfam family "Bacterial small subunit ribosomal RNA", at positions 524 to 772 of the family's 1533-position model. The record is from RNAcentral.